GGAAAGGUGGCUUAGUGGUAGAGCGCUUGCCUUGUAUGCAUGAGGCCCUGGGUUUGAUUCCUCAUUACCA
RNAcentral lists this transfer RNA (70 nucleotides) under Dipodomys ordii (Ord's kangaroo rat). It matches the Rfam family "tRNA". From Rfam's summary of the family: Transfer RNA (tRNA) molecules are approximately 80 nucleotides in length. Their secondary structure includes four short double-helical elements and three loops (D, anti-codon, and T loops). Further hydrogen bonds mediate the characteristic L-shaped molecular structure. tRNAs have two regions of fundamental functional importance: the anti-codon, which is responsible for specific mRNA codon recognition, and the 3' end, to which the tRNAs corresponding amino acid is attached (by aminoacyl-tRNA synthetases). tRNAs cope with the degeneracy of the genetic code in two manners: having more than one tRNA (with a specific anti-codon) for a particular amino acid; and 'wobble' base-pairing, i.e. permitting non-standard base-pairing at the 3rd anti-codon position. Lineage: Eukaryota; Metazoa; Chordata; Mammalia; Rodentia; Heteromyidae. The record is from Rfam by way of RNAcentral.